Molecule: transfer RNA, 77 nt
Filed under: Bacteroidales bacterium
Lineage: Bacteria; Pseudomonadati; Bacteroidota; Bacteroidia; Bacteroidales
Description: tRNA-Arg
Rfam family: tRNA
About the family: Transfer RNA (tRNA) molecules are approximately 80 nucleotides in length. Their secondary structure includes four short double-helical elements and three loops (D, anti-codon, and T loops).
Source: RNAcentral
GGUCCCGUAGCUCAGCUGGAUAGAGCAACGGCCUUCUAAGCCGUAGGUCCCAGGUUCGAAUCCUGGCGGGAUCACCA